GACGAACGCUGGCGGCGUGCCUAAUACAUGCAAGUGGGACGCAAGGGAACACACUGUGCUUGCACACCGUGUUUUCUUGAGUCGCGAACGGGUGAGUAACGCGUAGGUAACCUGCCUAUUAGCGGGGGAUAACUAUUGGAAACGAUAGCUAAUACCGCAUAAUAUUAAUUAUUGCAUGAUAAUUGAUUGAAAGAUGCAAGCGCAUCACUAGUAGAUGGACCUGCGUUGUAUUAGCUAGUUGGUAAGGUAAGAGCUUACCAAGGCGACGAUACAUAGCCGACCUGAGAGGGUGAUCGGCCACACUGGGACUGAGACACGGCCCAGACUCCUACGGGAGGCAGCAGUAGGGAAUCUUCGGCAAUGGACGAAAGUCUGACCGAGCAACGCCGCGUGAGUGAAGAAGGUUUUCGGAUCGUAAAGCUCUGUCGUAAGUCAAGAACGUGUGUGAGAGGGAAAGUUCACA
RNAcentral lists this ribosomal RNA (463 nucleotides) under Streptococcus mutans. RNAcentral describes it as "bacterial SSU rRNA". It matches the Rfam family "Bacterial small subunit ribosomal RNA", at positions 28 to 468 of the family's 1533-position model. Lineage: Bacteria; Bacillati; Bacillota; Bacilli; Lactobacillales; Streptococcaceae. The record is from RNAcentral.